RNAcentral lists this ribosomal RNA (490 nucleotides) under Pseudomonas sp. CL4.95. RNAcentral describes it as "bacterial SSU rRNA". It matches the Rfam family "Bacterial small subunit ribosomal RNA", at positions 17 to 502 of the family's 1533-position model. The record is from RNAcentral. Lineage: Bacteria; Pseudomonadati; Pseudomonadota; Gammaproteobacteria; Pseudomonadales; Pseudomonadaceae.
CCCUGGCUCAGAUUGAACGCUGGCGGCAGGCCUAACACAUGCAAGUCGAGCGGUAGAGAGAAGCUUGCUUCUCUUGAGAGCGGCGGACGGGUGAGUAAUGCCUAGGAAUCUGCCUGGUAGUGGGGGAUAACGCUCGGAAACGGACGCUAAUACCGCAUACGUCCUACGGGAGAAAGCAGGGGACCUUCGGGCCUUGCGCUAUCAGAUGAGCCUAGGUCGGAUUAGCUAGUUGGUGAGGUAAUGGCUCACCAAGGCGACGAUCCGUAACUGGUCUGAGAGGAUGAUCAGUCACACUGGAACUGAGACACGGUCCAGACUCCUACGGGAGGCAGCAGUGGGGAAUAUUGGACAAUGGGCGAAAGCCUGAUCCAGCCAUGCCGCGUGUGUGAAGAAGGUCUUCGGAUUGUAAAGCACUUUAAGUUGGGAGGAAGGGCAGUAAAUUAAUACUUUGCUGUUUUGACGUUACCGACAGAAUAAGCACCCGGCUACU